Molecule: ribosomal RNA, 871 nt
Filed under: Salmonella enterica subsp. enterica serovar Enteritidis
Lineage: Bacteria; Pseudomonadati; Pseudomonadota; Gammaproteobacteria; Enterobacterales; Enterobacteriaceae
Description: partial 23S ribosomal RNA
Rfam family: Bacterial large subunit ribosomal RNA
Source: RNAcentral
GGGUUGUGAGGUUAAGCGACUAAGCGUACACGGUGGAUGCCCUGGCAGUCAGAGGCGAUGAAGGGCGUGCUAAUCUGCGAUAAGCGCCGGUAAGGUGAUAUGAACCGUUAUAACCGGCGAUACCCGAAUGGGGAAACCCAGUGUGACUCGUCACACUAUCAUUAACUGAAUCCAUAGGUUAAUGAGGCGAACCGGGGGAACUGAAACAUCUAAGUACCCCGAGGAAAAGAAAUCAACCGAGAUUCCCCCAGUAGCGGCGAGCGAACGGGGAGGAGCCCAGAGCCUGAAUCAGCAUGUGUGUUAGUGGAAGCGUCUGGAAAGGCGCGCGAUACAGGGUGACAGCCCCGUACACAAAAGCGCAUGUGCUGUGAGCUCGAUGAGUAGGGCGGGACACGUGGUAUCCUGUCUGAAUAUGGGGGGACCAUCCUCCAAGGCUAAAUACUCCUGACUGACCGAUAGUGAACCAGUACCGUGAGGGAAAGGCGAAAAGAACCCCGGCGAGGGGAGUGAAAAAGAACCUGAAACCGUGUACGUACAAGCAGUGGGAGCACCCUUUGGGUGUGACUGCGUACCUUUUGUAUAAUGGGUCAGCGACUUAUAUUCUGUAGCAAGGUUAACCGAAUAGGGGAGCCGGAGGGAAACCGAGUCUUAAUUGGGCGUUAAGUUGCAGGGUAUAGACCCGAAACCCGGUGAUCUAGCCAUGGGCAGGUUGAAGGUUGGGUAACACUAACUGGAGGACCGAACCGACUAAUGUUGAAAAAUUAGCGGAUGACCUGUGGCUGGGGGUGAAAGGCCAAUCAAACCGGGAGAUAGCUGGUUCUCCCCGAAAGCUAUUUAGGUAGCGCCUCGUGAAUUCAUCUCCGGGGGUAGA